RNAcentral lists this long non-coding RNA (1566 nucleotides) under Olea europaea subsp. europaea. The record is from RNAcentral. Lineage: Eukaryota; Viridiplantae; Streptophyta; Magnoliopsida; Lamiales; Oleaceae.
UCCCGCGAUAUUCAAGGAAUGAGAUACAGAAAAGAUAUCCAAUAACAGUUAGUUGUUCAAAUGGACAUGAAUUUAUAGUUGACUACAUUUCGAAAAGUUAAACAUAACAUCUUCCAAUAACAAAUUUUCACAAACAUAGACAUCAUUGCUAUUCCCUAUGCUUUCCCUUGCUGUUACCUUUCGAUUUUCCUUUUUCCUUUUGGAUAGAUAUGUUGAAUGAAAUCUCCUCAUCUUCUUCAAUUUUUCAUUCGACAACACUUUCCAAUAUAGCUUGAUUGACUUCCAUCGCAAACGCCAAUACACUUUCCUUCAAAUUGCACUUCUUCCAGGACUUAGCAUAAAUACUCACAGGGGAUUAAUUCCAGUGCACAGGUUUGCGACACAAUGGACAUAGCUUGCUCUUCACUAGCCCGACAGAUAUACAUUUGUAAUGAUAAGCAUGUGGACAUGGCAGAAUCGAUAUUUCUUCUCCAACACAAGGCUUGUUCAAACAAAUACAACACUCUUUGUUCUGGAUCAUCAACCUUUAUUUUAACCUUCUCCAUAUAUUCUGGUGUUGCAGACACGGAUGUAGCAGUAGACACAGAUGUAGUUGUAGUCUGAACGAGAAGAUUCUGUUCAUAUUUUAUCCCCCGCCCCAAACGUUUCCACUACAAUGGCCAUGUCCUUGGCAGCAUCAAUAGUUUAUCCUCUUCUUGUAUUGGGUAAACUUGAAUGCACACGAGCACUGGGAAUGAUCUGUGCCCAGCAUUCAAUGGAUCAGCCUUCAUUUGAUCGAUAAAAUCAGUAAUUUGGUGAUGGAAUCCUUCCCUUACAUCAUCAUAACGCAACCCAUGAUAACGCAUCAUCAUAAAUACCCAUGUUCUUUCCAGCCAUUUAGUAAUGUAACUGCAAGAACGAUAACUUCAACGUACAAUUCAAGAUACAUAAUAUGUUGUAAUGUUGUUCAACAUCAAUAUAAUAUAAGUGUGGGAUGAAAAAAGGAGAAAUUUCUUAUUCAAGGUAUGAACUAUGAACAAAUUGUAACUUCAACUAUAUGUUGAAAUUCAUAACAGAAAUAUCAACUGAUAUGCCUAUCAGUUCAAAAAUUGAAUGUUCAUGUACUCACUCAAAUUCCGUUCUUCAAAAAUAUAGAAAAUUGAAUGUUCACGUAUUCACUCACAUUCUAAGCACUAUCCAAAAGAUAAACAAACUCAUUGUCUCAACAAACUAGAAAUAACGUAGAAAACUCCAAAUAUGAUAUAUUCCUCCCUAAAUUAGGCAGCAAAAUUUUCUAAUAUGGCUUCCAAAAGACACCGUGUAUUCAGUAUAAAUCUACCAAAUUCAUGUCCAGAGAAAAGCUAGGUAUAAAACUUCGAAAAUUUCGACCCAAAAAAAAAAAAAAAAAAAAAGAAGAAGAAGAAAUCCACCCAAACAAAAAUGAAAUCCAUUUUAAAACAACGCAUAGUCAAGUUAAAGAUGUCGUCGAACAUUUAUCUCAAUCGAUCUGCUCAUCGUCGCUGUUAUUUUAUCUCCAAUCAAUCGCUCGCCAUCGGCCGUCAAAGGAUUUCAAUUAGAGAGAGCUAU